Non-coding RNA from Acanthosepion pharaonis, 100 nucleotides. NCBI's taxonomy places the organism in Eukaryota, Metazoa, Mollusca, Cephalopoda, Sepiida, Sepiidae. The record is from the annotation of a GenBank genome assembly.
ACAUUGAAACAGCGGUUCCCGUACAAGCACUGAAGUUAAGCAACGUCGAACCUGGUGAGUACCUAUAUGGGUGACCAUUUGGGAGUAGCAAGUGCUGUUA